UGUUAGUAGAGACGACACUUCUGGAUUAGAUGAAAGAAUGAGUCAUCAUUAUGUAAUUUACUACCGGAUACCACUUGGUUUCUUUCUAUCCAAUCUAUCAGGAAAGAGGUUCACAACACAGGUGUUGGCAGCAUAGGCCAAAAUGAGUUUAGCUUUUGACAUCUGUCUCUCUGAGCCAGCCUCUGACAGAAUGUCCGGGAGUCACUCAGCAGAGAGGCCACACAGAGCUGGGUCCUGCCCACUGGUGCUUCUGCAGUUCAAGGAGCUCAGGGUUUUGCAGCGCUGAAGUACACGGAGCAAGGGAGCAGAUCCUUCACCUGGAGGCAGGAAGUGGCUGAUCUCCCGGGCAGGUCCUGGCCGUUGUGUCCAGACUAGAGACCUCGGUUGCUCCUCCUAGCCUUGUUUCCGGUCGCGUGGGCUGAGGCCGCCUUCUCAGUUGGACAGCAGAGACGGUCUAGCCCUGCAGAUGAGCUGCGUUGCUGACGGACCACAGUGCUACUUUCAUUUUCCCCUCGAGGGCUUCUGUAGCCUUCGAGCAGAAAGAGAGAUCAAGCUGAUACCAGGGUGCAGGGAACGCCUGUCCGGGAUCUCCGGUGAAACGUCAGAGAUGGCCCAGCCUCUGUUGUCAGCGUUAAAGCUGACUCCCACAGAUGACUGCUCCUGGACGAUGCCACUUUCUGGUUUCCUGCCAGGUCUUCUGGAGACAGGCAUGGGUAAGCCAUCUCUGGGUGGGAGAGGAGGGCGUGGGCCACACCGCCAGCCGGGGUGGGGAGGCCUCCUUCCCCAGCUGCAGCUGCCUCCUCCUGCCAGGCACGCUCCGUCCCACUGGGCCCCCUCAUGCAGUCUCAGCUUCUAA
Molecule: long non-coding RNA, 856 nt
Filed under: Bos indicus x Bos taurus (hybrid cattle)
Lineage: Eukaryota; Metazoa; Chordata; Mammalia; Artiodactyla; Bovidae
Description: lncRNA (ENSBIXG00005011408.1)
Source: RNAcentral